This is a long non-coding RNA of Schistocerca serialis cubense, 5755 nucleotides long. RefSeq lists it as uncharacterized. The record is from RefSeq and is a predicted model, not a curated record. NCBI's taxonomy places the organism in Eukaryota, Metazoa, Arthropoda, Insecta, Orthoptera, Acrididae. The transcript has 2 exons.
CGCCCCCGGACCCGGCGCCGCCAGCCAUCUGCUGCUCCGACACCUCCGCUGCAGUCCCCAGAAGCUGCAGCCCACGCGGCGCCCUACGGAAAUCCUAGCAAUUGCAGUGGCCGCCCCAAAUGGCCGCAACUCGCAGCAUUGCACUGGCAGCCCUCAGGAGCUGUGCCGCAGUGGAAGGCAGGCGUGUUAGCUGAGCAGCCUCCUGCAUGGGCCAGUGUCCACCACCCACCGUCGAGCGCAACCCAGCUGCUGCACUCCUGCUGUCCUCAGGCCACCACAAUGAGGUGGCUAUGAGAGAGAUACCUCAGCUGCUAGUGUCUACUAACAGCACUUACAUCCUGUGCAACACUGUGAACACCACAGAAGCUGCUCUGGCAGACUGCACAGUAAUUGGUGCUGAAAUGACCCGAGUCCCCUAAUAUGACAGUGUGCAAUGUGACACCAGUGAAGGCCAUCCACAGAACCAUUCUUAUGAAUCCAAUAUAGCCUUCAGGGAAGUACUGUGUAAAGUUGGGGUCAAAAGCAUCAUUGCUGAUAAUCUGAGGUGACAAGUCACUUUUCAGGAAUGUACCAUAACCUCCAUGGUUUCUACUCCCCAGUUUCAUUCUCUAUAGGAUAAAUUUUCAUCAUCAUUAUGAUGACCCCAAGCAGAGAGUUGUUAUCUAGGCAGAUAUCUGACACCAAGUGACUUCUUUACAACAGGCAACAUUAAAGAGGUGCUUCAAGUGGAGCUUACCAGAGACUUGUCUCAAUAAGCUGUGAGCUCCUCACCCUGUUCCAAUGCACUUACAAAAUGUUAAUGGCAGAACCAUUGCCCAAAUAUCAAGAAACACAAAUGUGGCUGAUAGCUUUCAUAUACUUAGUCACAAUUUGGCAGUGAACGCCCACUCCAUACAGCAACUCUAAACAUUACGAAGCAGUCAGCAGAAGUUAUUAGUAUAUCUGUGAAACAUAAGACAAUUAAUAGGAAAGAAAGUAUACAAUGUAUCCUAGUUCUAUUGCCAAAAUACAGAAAAAGUCAUAAAGUUUUAAAUAAUAUAUGUUAUACAUGUUCAGUGCAUCCAUCCUUGAAUGUGCAGCAGACAUCUGCAUGGAGAUCUAUUUCAUUCCAGUCAUGUCCUAUUAUAGCAAUGUCAGUGUGAUAAUCAGCUGUGGUGAUAAGGUUGCAAAUAACAUGGAAAUUUGUGGGCUAUGGCAGUAGAAAUAUGGUGUCCUUCAGGAAUCAACUGAGGAAGAAGUCACAGGGGUUUCAGCCAUGGUACUGGAGCCCCACUACAUUACUGUUUGUCCACUGUGCCCAUCUGCCUCUGUUGCAGUAAGCCAGUACCUGUCACGUUAGUAGAUAUAGCCAUUACUAUCUUCAUUCAGCUAUGGCAUUAGUCAGUUCCCAAACUUAUCCAAAUGAAUCACUAUAUAAUCACAGGCAUAUGAAUGAAUAAUGGUCUGUAGAUCUUUUUUUGAAUGACACAUGAAAUAUAAAUCCUGGGUGACUUUUCCACAUGUUGUGUGGUUCCAUAAGAAUUUUUGUCUCUUAGAUGCCCAUAUUCCGACAAUUUACCUUCCCAGACAGAUAGCAUGUUGGUUGUUCUUGAAUACAACUAUAUCCCCAAAACUUUCAGUUACAAACCACCCACACAUUUGAAUUGCAGGAAUUCAGAUGCACAAUUUUCAUCUUUUUUGCAGCACCAUACAUCUACCAGUUUUCUACUCACACAUCAAGCUCAAAAGCUGGAGCUGUGGAGGGUAGGCUGGUAAAUUUCCCUUUCACACUAUAUCACUUCCUUGCUCAAUCCUGUACAUACCACAAAAACUUGCACAUGCCUUAGAAUAUCAUGUAACACUUUUUUGUACGGGAGAAUACAGUUGCUACAUUUCAGAAGUCUGUUCAAAUCAUCUCAGUGCAGUCAAUACAGAUGAAGUUCCCUCAUAUACCAUAACAAAAAAUGCUUUCUAAUUCUUAUUGAAACCACAUUUGAUAUUGAUGUACCUAGUUCAAAGUGUGGCAGCUUAGCUCACCUCCCAACAUUUCUAAAAAAACUGGAUAAGUUUUCUGUAUAGUUGUACAAGGCUUAUUGUGAGCCAUUGAGUGAUUUGUGUGUUUCAUAUUUCUGAACCAUUUUGCAAUUUUCAAUGAAUGUGUUCUUUUGUGUGCCAUAACUAGUGGUAAGUUGCAAGUGGAAAUUGAUUUUCUCUUGUGAUUGCAAUAUAGAGAAACCAGCGGAAAGUCAAUCUGUUGUGGACCACUUAAAUGAAAGAUCAUUGCACACAUUCACCCACAUCUGGAUCAUAACUUUAACUUGCCAAAACGUUCACAUCAUUUUAGUAGACAGCACCAAAUCAAAUAAUUUUGAUGAUGCAAUACUGCACUCAGCAAUGUCACUAGAGACCAUGUAUUAAAAAAAAAAAAGAUUAUGGCAUUGGUUCCCAAACUUCUUUCCUUCUCUCUCUACCAGUCUGUCCUGUGUAAAUAUAACAACUGCAAACAAUAUCCACCUGAACCUGUUUACUGAAUUGCAACCUUGCUCUCUGUCUAUAAUUUUUGUACUCCCCUCCCCCUUUUCCCCCCACCACCACCCAGUUAUCAGGUCAACUUAUCAGGAUGCAUCCUAUGAACUGAUUGACCCCUCCUAUUAGUCAAUCUGUGCCACAAAGUACUUUGCUCUCCAGUUCAAUUCACUAUGUGUUCAUUAGCAUACUUCUGUAUCACCUCAUUCCCCAAGUUUCUCUUCUCUUCCCGUCUACACAGUUUAUUGUCCACUUUUCACUUGAAUUGCGUCUACAAUCCAAUUAUUAUUUUCCAGAUAAAACUCUGUAAUCAGUGUGUAUUUGUCACUAAAUUAUUUUUCAGAUAUUGUCUUUACUUCUGCUAUCACUAGUUAUUUGUUUCCCUAAGUAGCAAAAUUAAUCUGCUACUUUAAGUCUCUCACUUUCCAAUUUGCUCAGCUUCACCUGCAUUGAUUCAAUUACACUCUCUUAUCCUUAUCUUACUUUUGGUGACAUCCAUCUUACAACCUUGUUUCAAGAUGCUAUCCUCCCCAUACAGCUGCUCUUCCAAAUUCUUUACUGCCUUUCAUGGAAAUACCAAGUCACAGACAAAUCUCAUAGUUGUUAUUUCUUAUCCCUGAAAUUUAAUACCUUGACCAAAUUCUUCUUGAUUUCCUUUACUCAAAGUACAGUCUGAAUAACACAGGGGAUGGGAUAGAACCCUGUCUGACACCCUCCUCAAAUGCUGCUUCCUUUCUGUGUGCUUUGAUUCUUAUAACUGCAAUCUCAUUUCUAUAUAUGUUAUAGAUAACAUUUUUUUAAAAGAAUGUAUUCUACUCAGCAUUGUCAAAAACUUUUUCUAAACUUACAAAUGCUAUAAUGGUGGUUUGUCUUCUGUUAGCUUAUCUUUUAAGAUGAGGCAUAGGGUCAAUGUUGCCUCACAUGUUCCUUCAUUUCUCCAUAGCUGAAAUUGAUCUUACCCUAAGUCAGCUUGUACCAAUCUUUCCAUACUCCUGUAGAUAACCCAUGUUAGCAUUUAAUAUGCAUUACCUAAUCGACUGAUGGUUCAGUUAAUAUUCACACUUGUCAGCUCAGGGAACCUGUCAUAAACAAGUCUCCUUCACCACAAAUCUAUCCAAACCUUUAAGAGAAAGUCCAUUGUUGCUGUAAUUUUCAUGGAAACUCCAAGAAAAUUAUUUUUACAUUAUUUCAUCCAUUUUAUGACCUGGUUUUUAUCUAUUUUAAAUAUAAUCUUUACUUCAUUUCCAGGACCUAAGUUAGUGUGGAAUUUAUAGUUUACUUCAAACCUCUGGCACACAUUACAUUUUAGGAAGGAAUUGGUUGUGCAGGGCCAUUUACAAUCACACUAAUUCUGCUGAAAGAUUCUGACAGAAGAACAAAGUGUGUGAACUUAGAACCAACAGUAUUGAUUGUAUAGGCAGUAAACUGUGCUAGUUAAAGGAUAGCUGGGUGUCUACAGCUCCAGAAUGAUUGAUCUGGUGACUUUUGUUAUUUCAAGACUAUGUUGUGUAUGUUGCACCUGGAAGUUGUGAUUCCAAGAGCAUUGGGACUGAUCAUUAAGAGGCUAGAGAGUAGGAUUUUGUACAAUUUGACAGUUCACUGAAAAGUGGCCCAUGUCAUCAGAAAAUCAAUUAUGCCACAGAAUAACGAUAAGAUACAGUUGAAAUCUAUAAUUUUUAUAUUGCACCCAUGUAAAUAGGACAUUCAUAUGUUGGUGACACAAAUUUAAUAGUACCAGUAUGUUUGCAAAAGAAAUUUUAAAAGUAACAUGCAACAAGCAUUUUUCCCGUAAAUGCGCAGAAAAGUGAGAGGUUAUUUUUAACACUGGAAACACAUUUUUUGACUGAAUAGUUAGUUUUUCAUACGCUGCUAACAAUUCAGUUGAAUUAUUAAUUUGUAUGUUGGUGAAGUACUGUUCACAUUACAAGCAUUCAUUCCUCAACUAAGUGAAGAAUGGUCCACAGCAAUCUUCUGUAUGGACAAUAGUCACACAUUUGUUUAAAUAAUGGCAUCGACCAAAUCCUGGACAACAACAACUCUACUUGACAGUGUAAUAUGUACCUAGUUGUUAAAUACUAUUUUUCAAUAUUGGAAAAGAAAUCCAUUGUCCUGUAUUCAUGCAAAAUUUCUGUGCAGACAUCAUCAUGAUGUUGCAAGGACUUUUUAAAUACUUUCAUAAAUGUUUCUAUCUCUUUUUUUCUUUCAAUUUAUUUCUUCAUUAAUUUUAUUUUCAUACUGUAUAGCAUCCUUAGGAUCAAUGGACAUGUAAUUUAUUGUCUACAGUCUGUUACUCUCUUAGCCCUUUUCAUUCUUCAAAUUUUCUUUGUGUCAACAGUUUAAUCUCAUCAAUGGAAACCCUUUCAGGAGCUUAAGAACUGAAGACUGUUGACUCACACAAGAUGGGCUCACUGAAAAUUGAUCCUAAUAUGAGGAGCAAAAGGCAUUUGAGGAAUGACACAGUCUAACAGUUUUGAAGAUUUUUUUUUUUUUUUUUGUUACACAACAACAGUCACCAAAGGCUACAAAACAUAGACAUUGUCCACCUAGCAAUUUCUGAUCUCACCCCAUCCCAUUUUUCUGCUACCCUUUCCCUGUAUUUUAUAUACCGUAUUAUAAUGAUCAUGGUUAGCAAUACGAACAUGUCUAACAGAAAACUUUCUCAUUCAAACCAACCUUCAGACUGAUUACUGCUACAUUUUACUCUCAUUCCUCUAAGGAAAAUUUGGUGCAUUUCAAGAGGCUGUAAGUUAAUGGAAUAAAUUGGUCAGGUUAAAUAAAUAAUGCUUAGGUAGGAACAGCCACUGGAUUCAAUAAAAAAAGUAAAUCUGUGGGUGAUAUUGGCUACUUUUCCAUCAGACCCCUUAUUUGAUGUUAUGUAUACCCUGUGGAGCUGCCUGUAGUGAUGCCUCUUUCCUAAAAUUAAAUUUUAUGAUACAUCACAUACUUUUACCAACAUGAAAAAGCAGCUCAAUUUAGAUCCUCUGCUGACUGAGAAAUUAUUUAGCACUAUAACUAUGGAGUCACAUCAGUUUGUAUGAUAGGGAACAGUAGGACUAUGUUAUGAUGAUAACUGUCUUUACUUAUUGUCCUGUUUUCUGACACAAGCUUUGAAUUUCAUGAAUGAAACUGUUUCUUUAAUGUGAUCUGAAUACGCUUAUACUCUGGAUUUUGUUAACGUCUUUUUUAUGUAUUUGUGUGUAUGAUUUUGUACAGUGUAUGUAAUGCCUAAAUAAAAGAUGUUUUCUGUAUA